Mercenaria mercenaria is the source of this 621-nucleotide long non-coding RNA. RefSeq lists it as uncharacterized. The record is from RefSeq and is a predicted model, not a curated record. Lineage: Eukaryota; Metazoa; Mollusca; Bivalvia; Venerida; Veneridae. The transcript is spliced from 3 exons.
CCAGAUCCGGUACCUGCGAAGGCCAUGAAAUACUACAUAGUUUGUUUCUCAGCAGCUGUAUCAUGGUCCAAGAUCCAGCUAUUCAGGAUAUCUAGCUGAAGAAGUUCACAAGAAGAAAGGUUCCUAAUACCAUUUGGCUGUGUGGGAAACACAGCAAAAUUGACACUGUUAGUCUGUUUUCUGAAGAUGUAUGUUUUGGUUGAAUUGCACAGAAAGACCACCAUUUCGCUGAAAUUCUGCAGUUGGUCAGUGAAAAGAUAUCAGCUCAUUCAGAACAAUUCAUUAUUGUUAGAAAUCUACAAGAACAACCCAUUCAGAGUACAGCUGGAACAAGAGAAGUAAUCAGACUACGAAUUUGGAAUUUAUAGAGAACUUGAAAAUGAGAACGGAAACUACAAAUUAUAAUUUGAAGGGUCAGAAGCUAAUAAUAAUUUAAAUGGAACACUGGAUGAAGAGAACUCCCCCCCCCCCAUCCCUCUCAGUAUUGCCAUCAGAUGUGAUUUUGACAUUUAAGAGAUAGAAAGUUAUGAAAAGAAAUAGAAGUUGUUGAAAAGAAUAAAGCUUCAGCAUUUCCUCAGUGGGCUGUUUCAAAAUAAAUGGCAAAUGAAGUGAAAAGAAAAA